GCAAGUUUGGCAAUAAAAUAUUGGAGGCUGCCCAAGGGACACAGGCUGCACCCAUCACCAGGGGAAUCCAGCAUGGACAACGCUACAUGGAAAGGAGAUUCUGUACGUCGUGCAUUUCCCAUGGAGAGAAGCUGCAUGAUCCCUCCUGAGGAUGCAGAAUAGAAAAAGGUCAACAUGACUGGCAAAGGGCUCCCUCCUUUCCCAGGACUGCCCCGGAUUCCCUAUCCCAAGCAGGGCCAUUUAUCAUCAGAUAUGUGUCUUGGGCCACUGCCGCCACAUCCACCACCUCCCUGUCCAC
Molecule: long non-coding RNA, 298 nt
Organism: Tupaia belangeri chinensis (Chinese tree shrew)
Lineage: Eukaryota; Metazoa; Chordata; Mammalia; Scandentia; Tupaiidae
Exons: 3
Source: RefSeq, a predicted model, not a curated record